GUAAGGAAUAUUGGUCAAUGGGCGGAAGCCUGAACCAGCCAUGCCGCGUGCAGGACGACGGCCCUACGGGUUGUAAACUGCUUUUGCCCGGGAAUAACCCCCCGCUCUUGAGCGGGGCUGAACGUACCGGGAGAAUAAGGAUCGGCUAACUCCGUGCCAGCAGCCGCGGUAAUACGGAGGAUCCGAGCGUUAUCCGGAUUUAUUGGGUUUAAAGGGUUCGUAGGCGGCCUGUUAAGUCAGGGGUAAAAUACGGCAGCUCAACUGUCGCAGUGCCCUUGAUACUGACGGGCUUGAAUACCGGUGAAGGCGGCGGAAUGAGACAAGUAGCGGUGAAAUGUAUAGAUAUGUCUCAGAACCCCGAUUGCGAAGGCAGCUGCCUAACCGGCGAUUGACGCUGAUGCACGAAAGCGUGGGGAUCGAACAGGAUUAGAAACCCUAGUAGUCC
RNAcentral lists this ribosomal RNA (445 nucleotides) under uncultured bacterium. RNAcentral's name for it is "partial 16S ribosomal RNA". It matches the Rfam family "Bacterial small subunit ribosomal RNA", at positions 354 to 796 of the family's 1533-position model. The record is from RNAcentral.